Molecule: unclassified non-coding RNA, 21 nt
Filed under: Chlamydomonas reinhardtii
Lineage: Eukaryota; Viridiplantae; Chlorophyta; Chlorophyceae; Chlamydomonadales; Chlamydomonadaceae
Description: small RNA Cre_0133
Source: RNAcentral
AAGGGCCAGCGCGUCGGGACG